GGAGUUAACAGCAGUGUCAGAAAGAGAGGAGGGAACAGCAGUGUCAGAAAGAGAGAGGAGGGAACAGCAGUGUCAGAAAGAGAGGAGGGAACAGCAGUGUCAGAAAGAGAGAGGAGGGAACAGCAGUGUCAGAAAGAGAGAGGAGGGAAUAGCAGUGACAGUAAGAGGGAUAGAGAGAGGAUUGCACAUCUGGAAAUGUUGGUAUUCGUCAUUCGAUAUUUUCAGCAAAUGAAUUGAACAACACAUUUUGUUGUACAACGUUGUCUGGAAAACAUCUCCCUUCCCUCUGGCAGAAGAAUCGCAGGUUAGCGUUUUUCGUCAUGAAUGUUGUUCUGGAGGCAGCUCUGCCGAAUGGUCACUAGCUAGCACAGCCACAGUCAUCAAAUCAGAUUUUAAACCUAACCCUAAUCUUAAAUUAAGACCAAAAAGGAAAUGUUUGUUUUUAUAAAUGUUUUAAUAUAACCAAUUUUGACUUUGCAGUUGGCUUAUCU
RNAcentral lists this long non-coding RNA (491 nucleotides) under Oncorhynchus mykiss (rainbow trout). Its description in RNAcentral is "lncRNA (ENSOMYG00000054643.1)". Lineage: Eukaryota; Metazoa; Chordata; Actinopteri; Salmoniformes; Salmonidae. The record is from RNAcentral.